UUUUUAAAACGCCCAAGGGAUGGGAUGCCCAAUUUAAAUUGUAACCUUGUAAAAUUGGGGGGAUUUUUGAUCCCCCUGAACCCGGGCUAGUUACAUAUAAAAGCCUUAUUUAAUCCAAAGACAAAGCCUAGAUCAAAUUUUAAACGACUUUGUAAACAGGCAAGGUGUUGUAAGUGGUUGAGCAGCUGCCAUACUGCGAUCCACUGAAGCUUAUCCUUUGCUUGAUGAUUCGAU
This 234-nucleotide non-coding RNA is filed under the name Drosophila simulans. RNAcentral's name for it is "Eukaryotic large subunit ribosomal RNA". It matches the Rfam family "Eukaryotic large subunit ribosomal RNA", at positions 3173 to 3401 of the family's 3401-position model. The record is from Rfam by way of RNAcentral. Lineage: Eukaryota; Metazoa; Arthropoda; Insecta; Diptera; Drosophilidae.